RNAcentral lists this ribosomal RNA (1414 nucleotides) under Staphylococcus pseudintermedius. RNAcentral's name for it is "partial 23S ribosomal RNA". It matches the Rfam family "Bacterial large subunit ribosomal RNA", at positions 1487 to 2902 of the family's 2925-position model. Lineage: Bacteria; Bacillati; Bacillota; Bacilli; Caryophanales; Staphylococcaceae. The record is from RNAcentral.
CGAAGCGUGCUGUUGGAGUGCACGUCCAAGCAGUGAGAUUGAGUGUUAGGCAAAUCCGGCACUCUUAAGAUUGAGCUGUGAUGGGGAGAGGAACUUGUUCCUCGAGUCGUUGAUUUCACACUGCCGAGAAAAGCCUCUAGCUAGAAUAACGGUGCCCGUACCGCAAACCGACACAGGUAGUCAAGAUGAGAAUUCUAAGGUGAGCGAGCGAACUCUCGUUAAGGAACUCGGCAAAAUGACCCCGUAACUUCGGGAGAAGGGGUGCUCUUUGAGGUUCACGCUUCGAAGAGCCGCAGUGAAUAGGCCCAAGCGACUGUUUAUCAAAAACACAGGUCUCUGCUAAACCGUAAGGUGACGUAUAGGGGCUGACGCCUGCCCGGUGCUGGAAGGUUAAGAGGAGUGGUUAGCGCAAGCGAAGCUACGAAUCGAAGCCCCAGUAAACGGCGGCCGUAACUAUAACGGUCCUAAGGUAGCGAAAUUCCUUGUCGGGUAAGUUCCGACCCGCACGAAAGGCGUAACGAUUUGGGCACUGUCUCAACGAGAGACUCGGUGAAAUCAUAGUACCGGUGAAGAUGCCGGUUACCCGCGACAGGACGGAAAGACCCCGUGGAGCUUUACUGUAGCCUGAUAUUGAAAUUCGGUACAGUUUGUACAGGAUAGGUAGGAGCCUUAGAAGCGUGAGCGCUAGCUUACGUGGAGGCAUUGGUGGGAUACUACCCUAAUUGUAUUGGAUUUCUAACCCGCAGCACUUAUCGUGCUGGGAGACAGUGUCAGGCGGGCAGUUUGACUGGGGCGGUCGCCUCCUAAAGAGUAACGGAGGCGCUCAAAGGUUCCCUCAGAAUGGUUGGAAAUCAUUCAUAGAGUGUAAAGGCAUAAGGGAGCUUGACUGCGAGACCUACAAGUCGAGCAGGGUCGAAAGACGGACUUAGUGAUCCGGUGGUUCCGCAUGGAAGGGCCAUCGCUCAACGGAUAAAAGCUACCCCGGGGAUAACAGGCUUAUCUCCCCCAAGAGUUCACAUCGACGGGGAGGUUUGGCACCUCGAUGUCGGCUCAUCGCAUCCUGGGGCUGUAGUCGGUCCCAAGGGUUGGGCUGUUCGCCCAUUAAAGCGGUACGCGAGCUGGGUUCAGAACGUCGUGAGACAGUUCGGUCCCUAUCCGUCGUGGGCGUAGGAAAUUUGAGAGGAGCUGUCCUUAGUACGAGAGGACCGGGAUGGACAUACCUCUGGUGUACCAGUUGUCGUGCCAACGGCAUAGCUGGGUAGCUAUGUAUGGACGGGAUAAGUGCUGAAAGCAUCUAAGCAUGAAGCCCCCCUCGAGAUGAGAUUUCCCAACUUCGGUUAUAAGAUCCCUCAAAGAUGAUGAGGUGAAUAGGUUCGAGGUGGAAGCGUAGCGAUACGUGGAGCUGACGAAUACU